RNAcentral lists this long non-coding RNA (611 nucleotides) under Homo sapiens (human). RNAcentral's name for it is "HSALNT0042732". Lineage: Eukaryota; Metazoa; Chordata; Mammalia; Primates; Hominidae. The record is from RNAcentral.
CGAGAAACUCUAUGAACAGGAGUGAACAAUUCCUGUUUUUCUGAUUCUCCUUUCCCACCAAAGAUUCCUAACUUUCAACACAGUUGCUGAAGCUUAGGUGUAUGGUCAACUAAACAAUCCAAAAACCAUGUAGCUCCACAAUAAUCAGAAAUUCUGGAUCCAGUAAAACAAGUCUCCUUUAAGACAUGGCUGAAUGCUGGAAGAAAGUAAAGAAAGUUCCUGGAGUCAAAGAUGAAGUGAGAAGGAAAAAUCAGAGCAGUGAGUACGUGCAUGUAUGCUAGAGCCACUCAGGGUGGGAGUUGCCUGGCUUGGCCACCUAGAGGCUUGGAUUAGAAUGCUCAGGCCAGGGCAGAAUGUGAGGCCUGGAGAUACAGAAUGCUGGGUGUUGGAACUGCAACCCCUGCAGAAAUCCUGGUCUUCAGAAGGGCUAUACUCAGAGUGAGGGAAUGAAUCAGGAAAUGCACCCAUCGGCUCAGGGAGACAAUAAAGGUGAUUUUCUAUCUCAGUGGUCUGGGCUCUAGGGGAAAAGUUUCCCUUGAGAGUUUGUAAUCAUGGGUCUGUCAUUCCAUUGGUUCUGAAAACCUCUAAACUGAGAAAUAAACAUAAACUGA